Molecule: ribosomal RNA, 553 nt
Filed under: Pseudo-nitzschia turgidula
Lineage: Eukaryota; Bacillariophyta; Bacillariophyceae; Bacillariales; Bacillariaceae
Description: partial large subunit ribosomal RNA
Rfam family: Eukaryotic large subunit ribosomal RNA
Source: RNAcentral
AAGCAUAUAAUUAAGCGGAGGAAAAGAAACUAACUAGGAUUCCCUCAGUAACGGCGAGUGAAGCGGGACUAGCUCAGGAUGUGAAUCUGCGCUUUUAAGGCGCCGAAUUGUGGUCUGUAGACUUUGACGUUAUCUGCCGGCCCAAGUUCCUUGGAAAAGGACAGCUGAGAGGGUGAGACUCCCGUCCGGCUGGUAGAAUGAGUCAUGUGUCAACGAGUCGAGUUGUUUGGGAUUGCAGCUCUAAUUUGGUGGUAAAUUCCAUCUAAAGCUAAAUAUUGGUGGGAGACCGAUAGCGUACAAGUACCGUGAGGGAAAGAUGCAAAGAACUUUGAAAAGAGAGUUAAAGAGUACCUGAAAUUGCUGAAACGGAAGCGAAGGAAACCAGUGUUUGUUUGUUCAUAUUUCCCUGGCCACUUGUGGUUUGGGCGCUGUGAGCUUGCGUGGGUUUGCUUUGGUUGAAUCUUUUGGAAGAGCGCAGACAGAGUUGAUGUCUGUUGCUAGCACUGGAUUUGACUCAAGCAGACGAAAUGGUUUUCUUUACCCCGUCUUGAAA